GACAGAGGUGGCGAGCGUUGUUCGGAUUUAUUGGGCGUAAAGAGCGCGUAGGUGGUCUUGUAAGUUGGGGGUGAAAUCCCGGGGCUUAACCCCGGAACUGCCUCCAAUACUGCAAGACUUGAGUGCGGGAGAGGGUAGUGGAAUUCCCAGUGUAGAGGUGAAAUGCGCAGAUAUCAGGAAGAACACCUAUGGCGAAGGCAGCUCUCUGGGACGGUACUGACGCUGAGACGCGAAAGCGUGGGGAGCGAACAGG
Molecule: ribosomal RNA, 253 nt
Filed under: uncultured bacterium
Lineage: Bacteria
Description: partial 16S ribosomal RNA
Rfam family: Bacterial small subunit ribosomal RNA
Source: RNAcentral